Molecule: transfer RNA, 73 nt
Organism: Ceratocystis platani
Lineage: Eukaryota; Fungi; Ascomycota; Sordariomycetes; Microascales; Ceratocystidaceae
Rfam family: tRNA
About the family: Transfer RNA (tRNA) molecules are approximately 80 nucleotides in length.
Source: Rfam
GCCCGGUUAGCUCAAUCGGUAGAGCGUGAGACUCUUAAUCUCAAGGUUGCGGGUUCGACCCCCGCAUUGGGCU